CAAUAGCGUAUAUUUAAGUUGCUGCAGUUAAAAAGCUCGUAGUUGGAUUUCGGGUGGGAAUGGCCGGUCCGCCGUUUCGGUGUGCACUUGCUACGCCCACCUUGCUGCCGGGGACGUGCUCUUGAGUUCACGCUCGGGACACGGAGUCGGCGAGGUUACUUUGAGUAAAUUAGAGUGUUCAAAGCAGGCCUACGCUCUGAAUACAUUAGCAUGGAAUAACACGAUAGGACUCUGGCCUAUCUUGAUGGUCUGUAGGACCGGAGUAAUGAUUAAGAGGGACAGUCGGGGGCAUUCGUAUUUCAUUGUCAGAGGUGAAAUUCUUGGAUUUAUGAAAGACGAACUACUGCGAAAGCAUUUGCCAAGGAUGUUUUCAUUAA
Molecule: ribosomal RNA, 377 nt
Filed under: uncultured eukaryote
Lineage: Eukaryota
Description: partial 18S ribosomal RNA
Rfam family: Eukaryotic small subunit ribosomal RNA
Source: RNAcentral